GAUGAACGCUAGCUACAGGCUUAACACAUGCAAGUCGCGGGGUAACAUCUGGUAGAGCUUGCUCUUCCAGGAUGACGACCGGCGCACGGGUGAGUAACGCGUAUCCAACCUGGCCCAUACCACGGGAUAGCCCGUCGAAAGGCGGAUUAAUACCGUAUGCUGUCAUUAAGAUGCAUAUAUUGAUGACGAAAGGACUGGCGGUAUGGGAUGGGGAUGCGUCUGAUUAGCUUGUUGGCGGGGUAACGGCCCACCAAGGCGACGAUCAGUAGGGGUUCUGAGAGGAAGGUCCCCCACAUUGGAACUGAGACACGGUCCAAACUCCUACGGGAGGCAGCAGUGAGGAAUAUUGGUCAAUGGGCGUAAGCCUGAACCAGCCAAGUAGCGUGAGGGAAGACUGCCCUACGGGUUGUAAAACCUCUUUUGUUUGGGAAUAAAAGUGCGGGACGUGUCCGCCAUUGCAUGUACC
Molecule: ribosomal RNA, 466 nt
Filed under: uncultured bacterium
Lineage: Bacteria
Description: bacterial SSU rRNA
Rfam family: Bacterial small subunit ribosomal RNA
Source: RNAcentral